Long non-coding RNA from Bombyx mori (domestic silkworm), 885 nucleotides. RefSeq lists it as uncharacterized. The transcript has 2 exons. The record is from RefSeq and is a predicted model, not a curated record. Lineage: Eukaryota; Metazoa; Arthropoda; Insecta; Lepidoptera; Bombycidae.
AACAAUGAAUAGGAUAUAACAAUGUAAAAACAAACACAGUUCUGAUACAAAUAUCUGAUCAAACUGUUGAAUAUUUCGUAGAAAAAAAUGUUUUACGUGCCAGAAUAUAGGGUUUGAAUUGCUGUGAAAGUAUUCCACCCUCGCAAAUCACAAGAGAUACCCGUAAAAGGGUUAUUAUCGAAUGCAUGAAGGUAAUUGUGUUCAUGUCAAAGUAACCCAGGGCCGGCCAGGAAACACCCGCGGAGACACACAAGCACUCUAUUCUCUCAAAAUCAAUGUGAAUCCAACGGAAAUGAAUAGGAAUGCAGAAUAUCGGAUGACCACCUGUGGAAGUCAAGAGUGGUGGACGAUCGCUUCUAAGAACUGAAGUCGCUUUAAAACGAUACAAUAACGACGCCUCACUGUCUGAAGGUCUGCCCAUUCAUGUAUCCACGUUCAUUCAUAAUUUAGCAACGGACCGCCAUGAAUGAAAUAUAGAUUCCAUUGAAUAUAUACCUCGUCUAUUGUACGUUCUUAAGAGGCUUGUUUGCGGUACAGGUAAUAACCGAGUUACAUCGGCAGCUCUUUUAAAUUAACGUAAUCUCUGAGCCUUUGUCGUAAGGUUGAUUUUAAUUUGAUUUUUAAUUUUGAAAGGUGUAAGGUUUGAUUGCACGGUGUGCAGAUCGUAUAUUUGGGUGCUAUUGUGAAAAUUUUUAAGUUCAUUAAAGUUAAACGAAUGAUACAAUGAUAUUAUAGUAAGUGCAGUUUGACUUUGAUGGUGUUGAAGUUUUUAAAUCCACUUUUAUAACAAUUCAGUUUGAGCUAAUUUUAUUUGGAGAAAAAUAUAAAUAAUUAAAUAAAUAGGUGCACCUAUUCAUAAUAAACAUUCGCGGGCACUUAUCCCGA